AAAAAAAAAUAAUCUGGGCAGGUGAGAAAAUUAGUCACAGUGUAAACAUUGCUUCACAAUGGCCAGGAUACAUGAGUGGAUCCUGGGAUGACUAGGAAGCUUGAGGGUGGCCCAUGCUUGGCCUUACUGCCGCCCACAGCAAGUGGCAAUUUACUAAUAUAAAUUCACCUGGGCUUGGAGCAGGACUGUUUACACUGAGGCCAGGACCGGAUGGGCUGCCCACAUCAUAGAGCAGAAGAUAGUUCUGAGACCACAUUCUUCAAAGUUCUUCAAAAGGCCCUGGAAGGAUCGAGCACCAGUCGCCCACAGCAGGGACCAGCUUCCAAAAGAAUCCUCGCAUUGACUCUCCUCUUUCCUCAUUCACUCUCCUUGUCCCUCACUGCUCCCUGAGAUCACAUGACAAGUCACCUGCAUAAAGGCCUUUACCUGAGGCUCUGCUUUGGGGAAAGCCCAAGCUAAGACACUGUGCUUGUUCAUUUGUCAUGAGAAACACUGUUGUCAGACACAAACUGCUGUGGGUUAUCCAGAGGCAAAAUUGCAUGUUAGUAAAAACACCUAACUCUUA
This is a long non-coding RNA of Felis catus (domestic cat), 565 nucleotides long. RefSeq lists it as uncharacterized. NCBI's taxonomy places the organism in Eukaryota, Metazoa, Chordata, Mammalia, Carnivora, Felidae. The record is from RefSeq and is a predicted model, not a curated record. The transcript is spliced from 2 exons.